GACGAACGCUGGCGGCGUGCUUAACACAUGCAAGUCGAACGGAAAGGCCCUGCUUUUGUGGGGUGCUCGAGUGGCGAACGGGUGAGUAACACGUGAGUAACCUGCCCUUGACUUUGGGAUAACUUCAGGAAACUGGGGCUAAUACCGGAUAGGAGCUCCUGCUGCAUGGUGGGGGUUGGAAAGUUUCGGCGGUUGGGGAUGGACUCGCGGCUUAUCAGCUUGUUGGUGGGGUAGUGGCUUACCAAGGCUUUGACGGGUAGCCGGCCUGAGAGGGUGACCGGCCACAUUGGGACUGAGAUACGGCCCAGACUCCUACGGGAGGCAGCAGUGGGGAAUAUUGCACAAUGGGCGGAAGCCUGAUGCAGCAACGCCGCGUGCGGGAUGACGGCCUUCGGGUUGUAAAACGCUUUCGCCUGUGACGAAGCGUGAGCGACGGUAAUGGGUAAAGAAGCACCGGCUAACUACGUG
Molecule: ribosomal RNA, 468 nt
Filed under: uncultured bacterium
Lineage: Bacteria
Description: partial 16S ribosomal RNA
Rfam family: Bacterial small subunit ribosomal RNA
Source: RNAcentral